Molecule: transfer RNA, 74 nt
Filed under: marine sediment metagenome
Description: tRNA-Asp
Rfam family: tRNA
About the family: Transfer RNA (tRNA) molecules are approximately 80 nucleotides in length.
Source: RNAcentral
GGUUUCGUAGCACAAUAGGAUAGUGCGCUGCCCUGUCAAGGCAGAGCGUGCGGGUUCAAGUCCCGUCGAGACCG